UCACCUCUGGCUUGGAGCAAUGGAGUCUGCCAUUUGUGGACUGAGACCUCUGAAACUGCAAGAAUCUUUGAUAAUUCCUCAAGCAUGCCUCCUGCAAGAUUUAACAUUAAAGUGCCACAUAGAACAAUCAUUAGCACAAGCCAGAUGUGUGCUAGAAGCCAUCUCAUACAUGGCCAUUCAUCUCUAGUGACCUGCCAUGCAGCUAUAGUGACAGGGCUGGGAUUUGAACACACAACUUGACAUCUGCAUCAAAGACUGCUCUCGAGACUGAAUGAGCAAGUGAAUGUCUGCACAGAGCUGCUGCUCAGUGAAAAAGAAAAAGGGAAAAAGAAAUUUCUGAGCUACAUGAGGUACUCUAAGAGGUGUUUAAAAUUUGAAGUUCCUGAUCUCAUCAUUACCUGUUGUAUCUAUGGAUUCAGGUGCCACACUGUACUCCAUAAAUAUGCACUAUUACAAUAUGCCAAUUGAAAAUUAAAAAAUAUUUCUUAGGAAAGUUCAUGUGCUGAAUAAAUUUAGUAGCAAAAUCCAGAUGUUUCAAAAUUUAGAAUUUUUUUUUUUGCCUAAUUAAA
Molecule: long non-coding RNA, 569 nt
Organism: Sciurus carolinensis (gray squirrel)
Lineage: Eukaryota; Metazoa; Chordata; Mammalia; Rodentia; Sciuridae
Exons: 3
Source: RefSeq, a predicted model, not a curated record